AUCGAGGCUAGAGUCACAUCCCGAUACGUCUGGUUGUCCUGGUGUGCUAGAGCUCUCGUAGAGUAAUAUUUCUCUGCUUAUUCAUUGGCUGACCCUUCUCAUUGCUCAGCCAAUCACCAGCUCAGAAACACUC
Small nucleolar RNA from Trichomycterus rosablanca, 133 nucleotides. RefSeq annotates it as small nucleolar RNA SNORA3/SNORA45 family. The record is from RefSeq and is a predicted model, not a curated record. The transcript has a single exon. NCBI's taxonomy places the organism in Eukaryota, Metazoa, Chordata, Actinopteri, Siluriformes, Trichomycteridae.